This 252-nucleotide ribosomal RNA is filed under the name uncultured bacterium. RNAcentral's name for it is "partial 16S ribosomal RNA". It matches the Rfam family "Bacterial small subunit ribosomal RNA", at positions 100 to 354 of the family's 1533-position model. The record is from RNAcentral.
CGGGGUGAGUAACGCGUGAGGAACCUGCCUUUCAGUGGGGGACAACAGUUGGAAACGACUGCUAAUACCGCAUAACGUACGGGUAUCGCAUGGUAUCUGUACCAAAGAUUUAUCGCUGAGAGAUGGCCUCGCGUCUGAUUAGCUAGUUGGUAGGGUAACGGCCUACCAAGGCGACGAUCAGUAGCCGGACUGUGAGGUUGGCCGGCCACAUUGGGACUGAGAUACGGCCCAGACUCCUACGGGAGGCAGCAG